RNAcentral lists this ribosomal RNA (449 nucleotides) under uncultured bacterium. RNAcentral describes it as "bacterial SSU rRNA". It matches the Rfam family "Bacterial small subunit ribosomal RNA", at positions 76 to 518 of the family's 1533-position model. The record is from RNAcentral.
UAGCUUGCUAUUCAGAUGGCGACCGGCGCACGGGUGAGUAACGCGUAUCCGAACCUUCCUGCCAGUAGGGAACAGCCCGGCGAAAGUCGGAUUAAUGCCCUAUGUUCUUCAAUGCGGACAUCUAAGUUGAAGGAAAGAUUCAUCGCUGGCAGAUGGGGAUGCGUCCGAUUAGCUUGCCGGCGGGGUAACGGCCCACCGGGGCGACGAUCGGUAGGGGUUCUGAGAGGAAGGUCCCCCACACUGGUACUGAGACACGGACCAGACUCCUACGGGAGGCAGCAGUGAGGAAUAUUGGUCAAUGGGCGUAAGCCUGAACCAGCCAAGUAGCGUGCAAGGAUGACGGCCCUACGGGUUGUAAACUGCUUUUAUGCGGGGAUAAAGUGCGGCACGUGUGCCGCUUUGCAGGUACCGCAUGAAUAAGGACCGGCUAAUUCCGUGCCAGCCGCCGC